Molecule: transfer RNA, 82 nt
Filed under: Flavobacteriales bacterium
Lineage: Bacteria; Pseudomonadati; Bacteroidota; Flavobacteriia; Flavobacteriales
Description: tRNA-Leu
Rfam family: tRNA
About the family: Transfer RNA (tRNA) molecules are approximately 80 nucleotides in length. Their secondary structure includes four short double-helical elements and three loops (D, anti-codon, and T loops).
Source: RNAcentral
AUCGAAGUGGUGGAAUUGGCAGACACGUUAGGUUUAGGUUCUAAUUUUUUUAGUAGGGGUUCAAGUCCCCUCUUCGAUACAA